Molecule: long non-coding RNA, 3643 nt
Organism: Equus quagga
Lineage: Eukaryota; Metazoa; Chordata; Mammalia; Perissodactyla; Equidae
Exons: 3
Source: RefSeq, a predicted model, not a curated record
GUAAAGAUUAAAUGUGCUUUCUCAAAGGCAGCCACUUCAUGCUGCUAUGUCGAAAGGGCCAUUAUUAUUAUUAUUAUUUUUAAUAGUAAAAGAAAAAGGGAGAGAGGUUGGGAGAGAGAGAGAGAAGCUAGGUAGGAUGAUGACGGACUAGCUUUUCUGAGAGGAAAAGGAAAAGGGAAGGGAGAGAAAAAGGAGAGACCCUGAAGUGAACGGAGGAUUGUGCCUGAGAAGAACCUACAGAGGCGGCACAGGAGCCGUCUUUGCACAGGAAAACUCAGCUUCCAGGCGAUGGGGAAAAGCUACUAUCUAUCAGGUACAGAACCGGUAGCUGUCUGCGAAGAUGGAGGGGAAUUAUGCUUCGGAUUCCUCCGAAAUAUUGGCAAACGGCUUCAAAGGCUCCGCGGCGGGCGUGGGGCGGGGGAGCUGUAUCUCGCAGCCCGCACCCACCCCUUCCCACUUCGCGUCUACCAAAUGACAGCCUGGUGCUGGCUCGGGUGACUUGGCCUUGGCUUCAGCCAAGCAGCUGAUGCAGAGGAGGCCCCGUUUGCAGGACUGGCAAAGUGCACGCUAAAGAAAGAAGGAAGAAAUUUUGAAAAACAGCUCUGGGGAGGUUUCUUGUUCUUAAAAAAAAAAAAAAAAAAAAUCAAUUUUUAACUAUUUUCAAAAUUUGAUCAGUCCCAGUGCCUCCCUCCACUCCCACCAAAUUGCCUUUUUUCUCUCUCGUCGAAGCAUAAACUACAGAGUUACAGUCUCUAGAUUUGGUGUAUCGCUUCCUGCCCCCGCCUCCCCCUCUCCGCCCAGUUCUCCGUCCUCUGUUGAAACACCUCGCCCAGGCUAGCGCACUCGAGCUCACAUUCCCCCCCUUGCUCGGAAUGGUGCUACAGGAGGCUGCAGCCCUGCUCCGCUUCCGAUGGCUGAUCCUAUAGCCCCCCCCCCCCUCAGGAAUGUCUCCCCAGUGAAAGGACAAAGACUACAGAGACCAAUGCACUGAAGGACGCGCAAGCCAACUAUGAAGUUGAAACAAAGAAAGCCAUCACCUGAAGAAACCUCUCCUGCUAAGCAGCACACCCAAAUGGGACAGUUUCAGCCAACAGAACUCUCAGAACAAGAGGCAAUCUUUUCAAGAAACGGAAAAACUUAACAACAACAUCUAGAUUAGAUUUCUAAGGAGCCAAGGACUUUCCCUUCCUCGUGUGUAUUCCUCUGUUUGUAUUUAAAUUCGGUGUGACAUUCACUUUUUAAAAUUUUUCCUAGUAUGAACAUGCUUAUUAAUGCAGUGAUUUUAAAAUCAAAAAUGGCACAAAUGUGUUAAUGUUAUAACAAAAUUAAUGCUAUAAGUAGAUUGAUUUUUAGCCACACACAGAGUUUGAUCUUAAGAGUAACCUAGAGAAAAUAAAGUACUUUCGAAAUAACAACGGAGUCAGAGGCAAUCCAAAGGAUAAAAUAGUGGUGUAAAACACUCAUAAUGCAGCAUAGAAAUAUCAAAUUAUUCCACCUGACACCAACAAUCAACCAUUUUUUAAAUCAAGUAAGCUAGGUUCUGUGAGACAUCGUUACUACUUCUAGAGUUUAAAUCUAGUCAGACAGAGGUACAUAAACUUUUGAAAAGAUAAGUAACAAAUUGGGUCAAUAGACGAUAAGAGCAAAACCAAAACAAAAUAAAGGAUACAAACAAGGAGCUUAGAGGAGGUCACCAUGAGCUGGACAAAACUGGUCUGUUUAGGAAGAAAGUUCCCAAAGGAGGAAAAUAUAAGAUGAAUCUCAAAGGAUGUUAAAGAUUCAGAUAAAUGGAAAGGAAGGAGAAAAUAGAGUCCUCCAGAUGGAUCAGUUUUGUGAGCAAAACCAUGGAAGAAGGAACCUACUUGCUGAGUUUAGGAAUUAUGAAUACACACAUCUAGUUGACUUCACCUCAGACAUUCAAUGCCAACAUAUAUAUACAUAUAUGGUAAAGAAUUUGCAUACACAUUUCCCCUCUCCCACUCCAGAUUUCACCUAGAAUUGUAAUUGCAUUUCUCUGCCAUUAAAGCAAAUGAGAGUGAUUGGUGAUUAUAAGGAGAACUUGUGAUUUUUCUGUUAACCUAAUAGUAAUUGGUAUUUAUUGAGUUCUCACUAUCUGUUAAGCAUCUUACAUAUUAACUCACUUAAGCCUCCCAACAAUCUUGCAAAAUAGGUGUUAUUAUCCCUAUGUUACAGACAAUAAAACUGAGGUUUAAUGAGAUUAAGUAACUUGCCAAAGUGCCGUAUACAGGGUUUAUAUUCAGAAUUGCGAUUGCAAAGCUCACGAUCUAUCUAAAGCAUGAAGUCAGAAUGUUGUGGUCAAUGUCACCAUAUUGCUACUUCUUCUGUACGCUUUGAUGUUUUUCUAUGGUAAACAAAUAGUUACUUCAUUUAAUUAUCCCAUAAAAACUUUCAUUUUCUGGUUAAAACACUUGAAUAAUAGAAUGUAUUUUCAUGAUAGAAAAUUGAAAAAAUUGGGCAACAGAGGUUUUCAGCAUUUUAGGCUUUUUUUUUUUUUUUUUGCCAGACUUUAAUGAGGUGUUCACUUUGGUCUGCAAGAAAUCUCAAAUUCUUGAGAAUAAUUAAAAGGGGGGUGGGAGAGCUUAAAGGUCAUCUAUUGUAAUGUUCUUUUUCACAGAUGAGAUAAAUCCAUAUAGUUAGAGUGACUUAUGGAAGAUGACGCAUUUGAGUGUGGCGGAUCUAGGUCCAGAAACCAGGCCCUUCAGUCUAGUCUCAGAGGCUCUUGAACUACUCCACCCUGUUCAAGUAGAAACUUGAAUUUGAUCAAUGAAAACGUUCUAUCUGGGUGAUCAGGGAGCAUUGUACCUAGUAGAUGGCUUCAAUUCUGCACCUCUUUGGCUUCUCACCUCGAUGGCACAAAUAGCUAGCUGUGAACUAACAUCGUUAGAUCCAGAAAUUGUCAACAGUCCAUCCCCAAAGAACACGUAAUGGCCCAAGUUGUGUGUACAAUGUCUUCAAUGAUAUUCUUAAGUUAUUUGGAAUUCUUAGUUUACCCAAACAAAUCAGAUCUCCUAAAGAGCAUUUUCUUAAUCAACUUAGUGCACAGUAUGUAUUCAUAAGUGCUUCUGAUGACUAUUUAUACAUGAUUGUUUCAAUAGUCCUUAUGUUUUUGAAAAUAUCAAUAGUUAUUUGCUAUUUUAAUCCUCACUUAUCCAUGUAACUAACUCAAGAGUACUUCGGCAAUAAAAAGCUAGAGUUAAGGAAAUUUCACUUUUCUUUAUCAGCCCCUUUACAUUUGGUUGGCAUUUAGUAAUGCUUAAUAAAAUGGUCAGGUGGAUAACACAGAGGUUCAAAAUGCAAUUCUGUCUUGAAGGAGUCAAUUAAGCUGGGAUUACUUAAGGACAAACAUCUAGAUGUUUGGAAGUACCUGAAUAUUUGACUGUUGUAAAUUUCCACUUAGGUAUCUGGCAUUGUCAGACUUAGACCUCCUUGUGGCUCAGCUCGUCCUGUUUUCAAAAUGAUGAUUAUUGGCCAUAUUUCACACAGUUCUCAUUAAGUGAUUUUUAAAUAAACAGGAUUUUUUAAAGAGUAGCCAAGCACAAAAUGUGACUUUGUUGACAUUUUAUGAGACUUUGUCAUAUGUCCCCCAAACCCCCAAUAAAAGCAAUGUUGCAUCAACUGUGAA